Oncorhynchus tshawytscha (Chinook salmon) is the source of this 534-nucleotide long non-coding RNA. The record is from Ensembl. NCBI's taxonomy places the organism in Eukaryota, Metazoa, Chordata, Actinopteri, Salmoniformes, Salmonidae.
UGAUGGGUCUAUCAGGUAACAUGCUGGGUGAUGGGUCUACCAGGUAACAUGCUGGGUCUAUCAGGUAACAUGCUGGGUCUAUCAGGUAACAUGCUGGGUCUAUCAGGUAACAUGCUGGGUCUACCAGGUAACAUGCUGGGUCUAUCAGGUAACAUGAUGGGUCUAUCAGGUAACAUGCUGGGUGGUGGGUCUAUCAGGUAACAUGCUGGGUCUAUCAGGUAACAUGCUGGGUCUAUCAGGUAACAUGCUGGGUCUACCAGGUAACAUGAUGGAUCUAUCAGGUAACAUGCUGGGUCUAUCAGGUAAAGUGCUGGGUGAUGGGUCUACCAGGUACCAUGCUGGGUGUAUCAGGUAACAUGCUGGGUCUAUCAGGUAACAUGCUGGGUCUAUCAGGUAACAUACUGGGUCUAUCAGGUAACAUGCUGGGUCUACCAGGUAACAUACUGGGUCUAUCAGGUAACAUGCCGGGUGAUGUGUCUAUCAGAGAGCCAUGAGCCUCCUAGGUUUUGUAUUGAAGUCAAUGUAGCCAGAGGA